UGCAAGUCGAACGGAAGUCGUUAUAAAAGGAGAGAAGAUUUAUCGGAUUGAAUUUUAUAACAAUGGCUUUAGUGGCGGACUGGUGAGUAACGCGUAAGGAACCUACCUAUUAGAGGGGAACAACAAUGAGAAAUCAUUGCUAAUACCGCAUAUGCCAUAACUACCGCAUGGUAGAAGUGGGAAAGGAGUAAUUCGCUGAUAGAUGGCCUUGCGUCUGAUUAGUUAGUUGGUGGGGUAACGGCCUACCAAGACGACGAUCAGUAGCCGGACUGAGAGGUUGAACGGCCACAUUGGGACUGAGAUACGGCCCAGACUCCUACGGGAGGCAGCAGUCGGGAAUAUUGCGCAAUGGAGGAAACUCUGACGCAGUGACGCCGCGUGCAGGAAGAAGGUUUUCGGAUUGUAAACUGCUUUAGACAGGGAAGAGAAAGGACAGUACCUGUAGAAUAAGCUCCGGCUAACUACGUGCCAGCAGCCGCGGUAAUACGUAGGGAGCGAGCGUUAUCCGGAUUUAUUGGGUGUAAAGGGUGCGUAGACGGGAAUACAAGUUAGUUGUGAAAUACCUCGGCUUAACUGAGGAACUGCAACUAAAACUAUAUUUCUUGAGUACAGGAGAGGUAAGUGGAAUUCCUAGUGUAGCGGUGAAAUGCGUAGAUAUUAGGAGGAACACCAGUGGCGAAGGCGACUUACUGGACUGAAACUGACGUUGAGGCACGAAAGUGUGGGGAGCAAACAGGAUUAGAUACCCUGGUAGUCCACACCGUAAACGAUGGAUACUAGGUGUAGGAGAUAUUAAGUCUUCUGUGCCGUCGCAAACGCAGUA
This 823-nucleotide ribosomal RNA is filed under the name uncultured bacterium. RNAcentral's name for it is "bacterial SSU rRNA". It matches the Rfam family "Bacterial small subunit ribosomal RNA", at positions 56 to 862 of the family's 1533-position model. The record is from RNAcentral.